UAUCUCUGUAGAGUCUGCAUAUCAAUAAGCGGAGGAAAAGAAACUAACUAAGGAUUCCCCUCAGUAACGGCGAGUGAAGCGGGAAGAGCUCAAAUUUGAAAUCUUCAAGGUUCUACCUUUACGAAUUGUAGUUUAAAGAAGUGUUUUCUGUUGAGUGUUUUGGUAAAAGUUCUUUGGAAUAGGACAUCAUAGAGGGUGAGAAUCCCGUAUUUGACCAUUACUUCCAGCGUUGUGAUACACUUUCAAAGAGUCGGAUUGUUUGGGAAUGCAGUCCAAAAUGGGUGGUAAAUUUCAUCUAAAGCUAAAUAUUGGCGAGAGACCGAUAGCGAACAAGUACCGUGAGGGAAAGAUGAAAAGAACUUUGAAAAGAGAGUUAAACAGUACGUGAAAUUGUCAAAAGGGAAGCGUUUGACACCAGUGUUGUUUUCUCGAAAAUCAAUUAAAAAAGGCAGGAUUUUGUGUUGUAUUGACUUUAUCAGCUUUCUGACACUCUUUUCUUGUCUUUUUUAAUGCACUUUUCGUUUAACAAGUCAACAUCAAUUUCUUUUGUUGUAAAAGGGUCAUUGGAAGGUGGCUUUCUUUUCGGAGAAAGUGUUUAUAGCCUUUGGCCUCUGCAAUCGGAGAGAUUGAGGUCUGCAGCGUAGAUCCUUCGGGGUUAGAUACAUUUGUGCUAAGUUAUAGCCUUUCAUAGACAACUUGUUGACUAUGAUCAGUCAUGUAGCUUACUCGCUUAUGCUAUUUUACCUACGCUUAGGAUGUUGACGAUCAGCUGAGCGCG
RNAcentral lists this ribosomal RNA (778 nucleotides) under uncultured Neocallimastigales. RNAcentral describes it as "partial large subunit ribosomal RNA". It matches the Rfam family "Eukaryotic large subunit ribosomal RNA", at positions 24 to 634 of the family's 3401-position model. The record is from RNAcentral. Lineage: Eukaryota; Fungi; Neocallimastigomycota; Neocallimastigomycetes; Neocallimastigales.